GAUGAACGCUGGCGGCGUGCUUAACACAUGCAAGUCGAACGAAGCACUUUAUUUGAUUUCUUCGGAAUGAAGAUUUUGUGACUGAGUGGCGGACGGGUGAGUAACGCGUGGGUAACCUGCCUCAUACAGGGGGAUAACAGUUGGAAACGACUGCUAAUACCGCAUAAGCGCACAGGGUCGCAUGACCUGGUGUGAAAAACUCCGGUGGUAUGAGAUGGACCCGCGUCUGAUUAGCCAGUUGGUGGGGUAACGGCCUACCAAAGCGACGAUCAGUAGCCGACCUGAGAGGGUGACCGGCCACAUUGGGACUGAGACACGGCCCAAACUCCUACGGGAGGCAGCAGUGGGGAAUAUUGCACAAUGGGGGAAACCCUGAUGCAGCGACGCCGCGUGAGCGAAGAAGUAUUUCGGUAUGUAAAGCUCUAUCAGCAGGGAAGAAGAAAUGA
RNAcentral lists this ribosomal RNA (446 nucleotides) under uncultured bacterium. RNAcentral describes it as "bacterial SSU rRNA". It matches the Rfam family "Bacterial small subunit ribosomal RNA", at positions 28 to 456 of the family's 1533-position model. The record is from RNAcentral.